Molecule: ribosomal RNA, 550 nt
Filed under: uncultured bacterium
Lineage: Bacteria
Description: bacterial SSU rRNA
Rfam family: Bacterial small subunit ribosomal RNA
Source: RNAcentral
AGAAAAUAGAUACCCUGGUAGUCCAUGCCGUAAACGUUGGGCACUAGGUGUGGGGGACAUUCCACGUUUUCCGCGCCGUAGCUAAACGCAUUAAGUGCCCCGCCUGGGGAGUACGGCCGCAAGGCUAAAACUCAAAGGAAUUGACGGGGGCCCGCACAAGCGGCGGAGCAUGCGGAUUAAUUCGAUGCAACGCGAAGAACCUUACCAAGGCUUGACAUGAACCAGACCGGGCUGGAAACAGUCCUUCCCCUUGUGGGUUGGUUUACAGGUGGUGCAUGGUUGUCGUCAGCUCGUGUCGUGAGAUGUUGGGUUAAGUCCCGCAACGAGCGCAACCCUCGUUCUAUGUUGCCAGCACGUGAUGGUGGGGACUCAUAGGAGACUGCCGGGGUCAACUCGGAGGAAGGUGGGGACGACGUCAAAUCAUCAUGCCCCUUAUGUCUUGGGCUUCACGCAUGCUACAAUGGCCGGUACAAAGGGUUGCGAUACUGUGAGGUGGAGCUAAUCCCAAAAAGCCGGUCUCAGUUCGGAUUGGGGUCUGCAACUCGACCCC